Molecule: long non-coding RNA, 260 nt
Filed under: Phoenix dactylifera (date palm)
Lineage: Eukaryota; Viridiplantae; Streptophyta; Magnoliopsida; Arecales; Arecaceae
Description: long non-coding RNA (PDAC_LNC022059)
Source: RNAcentral
AAAUAAGUAUGAUUUAUUUUGUAAUCAAAUCCACCCGCUCUGAUACCAUUGACGGAAUGAUUAAUCUUAAUGAAUCAUAAACCAUACCUUGACUCGCUAAAUCCAUCUUGAAUUAAGCUUUGAAAUGCGUGCGCAGCCGUGAUCAAUCGAGAUUUGAAUAGAGAUUAGCCAGAGAUCUUCUGGAGAGAGAGCUCUUAAUGCGUGCUUUAGAGAAGGGGUCUAACAGGCUAUUUAUAGCCCUCUCCAGGGACCAAAUGCUG